UUUUGAGAUUUUGAUCCUGGCUCAGGACGAACGCUGGCGGCGUGCUUAACACAUGCAAGUCGAACGAUGAAGCCCUUCGGGGUGGAUUAGUGGCGAACGGGUGAGUAACACGUGGGCAAUCUGCCCUUCACUCUGGGACAAGCCCUGGAAACGGGGUCUAAUACCGGAUACCACUCCUGCCUGCAUGGGCGGGGGUUGAAAGCUCCGGCGGUGAAGGAUGAGCCCGCGGCCUAUCAGCUUGUUGGUGGGGUAAUGGCCCACCAAGGCGACGACGGGUAGCCGGCCUGAGAGGGCGACCGGCCACACUGGGACUGAGACACGGCCCAGACUCCUACGGGAGGCAGCAGUGGGGAAUAUUGCACAAUGGGCGAAAGCCUGAUGCAGCGACGCCGCGUGAGGGAUGACGGCCUUCGGGUUGUAAACCUCUUUCAGCAGGGAAGAAGCGAGAGUGACGGUACCUGAAGAAGAAGCGCCUGCUAACUACCUGCCAGCAGCCUGUAAUAA
This 504-nucleotide ribosomal RNA is filed under the name Streptomyces subrutilus. Its description in RNAcentral is "bacterial SSU rRNA". It matches the Rfam family "Bacterial small subunit ribosomal RNA", at positions 1 to 523 of the family's 1533-position model. The record is from RNAcentral. Lineage: Bacteria; Bacillati; Actinomycetota; Actinomycetes; Kitasatosporales; Streptomycetaceae.